UCUUUCCAAGGAUGCUUGCUAGGGGAUGCUGCUGAUGGUGGUCCCGGUGUGCCUGGUUUUGGACGGAAAACAGCUCUGAAACUUAUGAGGAAGCACGGCUCGCUAGAAAAUAUAUUAAGUGCAGCGGCAAUUCGAGCGGUUGGGAAGCCAUACAUACAAGAUGCUCUCAAAGAGCAUUCCGUGUUGCUUGAGAAAAACAUGGAAGUUUUGUCCUUACGCAGAGAUAUUAACGUAGAGCUACCAGUUGAGUGGUGCAGGGAUAAGUCAAACGAUCUUGCUGCAUUGCAGUGGCUGGAGAAAGAACUUGAAAUGCUGCAUCGUGUCUAAAGAGAGAGAUAUUGACGUAGAGCUGGUGCUUGUCGAGGGAUAAGUCAAGCGAUCUUGCUGCAUUCCAAUGGCUGGAGAAGGAACUUGAAACGUUGCAGGUUUUUUAGCAGCGGCAAACUGGUCAGGCUCGAGGUUGGUCCCAUUUGUAUCUUAUGCCACAGAAGAAAACGCAGAAAAAACCAAGAGCUUGAUAGAGAGGAUUCCGGGCAGGCUUUAGAUGGUCGAUGGCUGGAUACAGAGGCAUCGGUGGGAAGUUCUCUCGCUCAAAACGAGGCGCUCAAAGAGCGUGGCCUUGCAAGGCGGACGCGUUGGUGUAUUCUUAAGUUCGUGCCUCAAGUGGAGAGAUGUGGAGCUUGGCUGGAUGGCCUUCAAGUCGGUUCUCAAGCUCGACGACGGAAC
Molecule: long non-coding RNA, 726 nt
Organism: Selaginella moellendorffii
Lineage: Eukaryota; Viridiplantae; Streptophyta; Lycopodiopsida; Selaginellales; Selaginellaceae
Exons: 4
Source: RefSeq, a predicted model, not a curated record